This 601-nucleotide ribosomal RNA is filed under the name uncultured fungus. RNAcentral's name for it is "eukaryotic LSU rRNA". The stretch from base 215 to 365 matches the Rfam family "5.8S ribosomal RNA". Lineage: Eukaryota; Fungi. The record is from RNAcentral.
CUUGGUCAUUUAGAGGAAGUAAAAGUCGUAACAAGGUCUCCGUAGGUGAACCUGCGGAGGGAUCAUUGAUGGUUUGACUUGCCUUUUGCGAGGCAACGUCUUCACCUUCCACCCUUGUGCAUUUAAAGCCUUUUUCUUUGGCUGACGGAAGUUGGCCAAAGUCAUGCAAAGUCUUGUAUUGUUUCGUCUGUGAAGAAAAAUUCUUAACAUUGAAAACUUUCAACAACGGAUCUCUUGGCUCUCGUAUCGAUGAAGAACGCAGCGAGAUGCGAUACGUAGUGUGAAUUGCAGAUUUUUGUGGAUCAUCGAGUUUUUGAACGCACAUUGCGCUCUCUGUUGAGGAGAGCAUACCUGUUUGAGAGUUGCUUAUAACCUUCACCGGCCUUUUUUGGCUGCGUGGUGUUGGAUUUUGCUUCGCAAGAAAGCAUCGUCUGUAAAGGUUUCGACUCUGGUUCGCGGUGAAAGCAGCAACGAUGAGUUUCUUGGACACCGGUGUUGACUGAAAGCCUAGGAUCGAGAGUCGUUAAGCAUUGGAUCUCAGUUUCAACCUCAGAUCAGGUAAGAGGACCCGCUGAACUUAAGCAUAUCAAUAAGCGGAGGA